AGACAGACAGACAGACAGACAGACAGACAGACAGACAGACAGACAGACAGACAGACAGGCUUGCCAUGUCAAUCAUACAGCAGUCUUCACAGGGCUGUGUACUAUGCCUCUGUACAGACACGGUUGGGCUAAAUUCAAGUUCAUCUCUAUCUCUUCAUGUGACUCAUUGGAAACAUGUUCUCGUCAACUAGUCACAGUUGGAAUUUCAACAGUCCCUGAAUUGACUCGUACAUUGAUGUGUGUUCUUAUCCCUUGUUCCAGUCUAAGAGAGCUACUCUAUCUGUGUAAGACUGGGUUUAUGUAUUGUAGAUGUACUAUAGAUAAGAGCUGUGCUUGGAAAGACAAAAAGACCAGAUCAUGUUGAUCAAUGUUGGACAACCACAGCCAGGUGGGUUAUGGGAGGAUUAUUUGUCCUAGUUGACCACCGGCCUGCAGGCGGUCCCUGCAAUGGACUGGGCACGGGGUGUAAGCUAUCAAAGGAAAACAAACAGACACACACUCAUGCACAUAUGCACACACAUACGUAUGUGCACACACACACACACACACACACACACACACUGAAAGAGACAGAAAAACGGACAAUCUCACUUACAGAAACACAAUCUAUGGUACACAGAGGAUACACAGACUUAGGCACACACGCAAGCUAACAAGCGCUCACACACACACUCAACAAAGAUCUCAAGGCUUGUGAACAGCUGGUGCUGAAACAAGAAACAAGGCAAGCGAGGUUUAUUAACCCAGAGUCCUGCUGUCAGGACCUCCAGACCUCAGCCCCAACAGCUGACACAUGCAUGUACGCAAAUCCAUGUAUAGUGUGUGUGUAUAUGUUUUGGGAGUGUGUAUGUGUUUUGAGUGUGUGUGUAUGUGUAUAUGUUCUGAGAAUGUGUAUGUGUUUUGAGUGUGUGUGUGUGUAUAUGUUCUGAGAGUGUGUAUGUGUUUUGAGUGUGUGUGUGUGUAUAUGUUUUGAGAGUGUGUAUGUGUUUUGAGUGUGUGUGUGUGUGUGCGUGUGCGUGGGUUUGCGCGUGUGCGUGUGUGUGUGUCUGUGUGUGUGUGUGUGCGUGUCUGUGUGUGUGUGUGUGUGCGUGCGUGCGCGUGUCUGUCGUGUCGUGUCUGUGUGUGUGUGUGUGUGUGUGUGUGUGUGUGUGUGUGUGUGUGUGUGUGUGUGUGUGCGUGCGUGCGUGUGCGUGCGUAUCUGUGUGUGUAAUGUAUAGGGCCAUAUAAGAGGCAUGGUAUGAGGGAUGAGUCCUGCUAAGUGCCUACUCCCAAUAAGACUAGUUAUUUAUUUUAAAAAGCCUUGAUAAAUGCUCCAUAUUUCAGUGAUCACCCUCAGGAGGCUCCCACGAGUAACAGAUACAAAUUGUCAUGGUGACAGGCCGAAGGAGAGGAAAGGGGAAUAUGGGAUAGGCUUUUCCUCCAUGGAAAUGCUUCCUGCCAGCAAUGACAAACGUACUCAUUCAUUUAUUCACUAACUCUUGUGCUCUCUAAUUCUCUUGUUCUUUCGUUGUGUCUUUCUCUCAGUUUCUCUCUCUCCUUUAGAGAGAGUGAGUCAUCUGCAGGUGGGUGAAUCACUAUGGGGUGGUCCUCUUAAAAUCAAAUAAAAAUCAGUUGAGGGUUUACAGAGAGGUAAUUGAUAAUCAGGUGAGGGUUUACAGAGAGGUAAUUGAUAAUCAGGUGAGGGUUUACAGAGAGGUAAUUGAUAAUCAGGUGAGGGUUUACAGAGGUAAUUGAUAAUCAGGUGAGGGUUUACAGAGAGGUAAUUGAUAAUCAGGUGAGGGUUUACAGAGAGGUAAUUGAUAAUCAGGUGAGGGUUUACAGAGAGGUAAUUGAUAAUCAGGUGAGCUGAACUAAGGGUUUACAGAGAGGUAAUUGAUAAUCAGGUGAGGGUUUACAGAGAGG
This is a long non-coding RNA of Oncorhynchus tshawytscha (Chinook salmon), 1902 nucleotides long. NCBI's taxonomy places the organism in Eukaryota, Metazoa, Chordata, Actinopteri, Salmoniformes, Salmonidae. The record is from Ensembl.